UAAUACCGCAUACGCUCUAUGGAGGAAAGCAGGGGACCCGCAAGGGCCUUGUGCUAGGGGAGCGGCCGAUGUCCGAUUAGCUUGUUGGUGGGGUAACGGCCUACCAAGGCUGCGAUCGGUAGCUGGUCUGAGAGGAUGAUCAGCCACACUGGGACUGAGACACGGCCCAGACUCCUACGGGAGGCAGCAGUGGGGAAUUUUGGACAAUGGGGGCAACCCUGAUCCAGCCAUGCCGCGUGCGGGAAGAAGGCCUUCGGGUUGUAAACCGCUUUUAGCCGGGAAGAAAAGGCAGAGGCUAAUACCUUCUGUUUUUGACGGUACCGGCGGAAUAAGCACCGGCUAACUACGUGCCAGCAGCCGCGGUAAUACGUAGGGUGCGAGCGUUAAUCGGAAUUACUGGGCGUAAAGCGUGCGCAGGCGGUUCGUCGUGUCCGAUGUGAAAGCCCCGGGCUCAACCUGGGAAUGGCAUGGGAAACUGGCGAACUGGAGUGUGGCAGAGGGGGGUGGAAUUCCGCGGGUAGCAAUGAAGCGCG
Molecule: ribosomal RNA, 533 nt
Filed under: uncultured bacterium
Lineage: Bacteria
Description: bacterial SSU rRNA
Rfam family: Bacterial small subunit ribosomal RNA
Source: RNAcentral